This 286-nucleotide small RNA is filed under the name Callithrix jacchus (white-tufted-ear marmoset). Its description in RNAcentral is "Metazoan signal recognition particle RNA (ENSCJAG00000067550.2)". Lineage: Eukaryota; Metazoa; Chordata; Mammalia; Primates; Cebidae. The record is from RNAcentral.
GCUGGGCAUAGUGGUGCGCGCCUGUAAUCCCAGCUACUCAGGAGGCGGAGGUUGCGGUGAGCCGAGAUCGCGCCAUUGCACUCCAGCCUGGGUAACAAGAGCGAAACUCGGUCUCAAAAAAAAAAAAAAAGAAAGAAAAAGAAAAUGCCUUCUUCAAAAUUAGGCUUUAUCUUUAUAAUGCCUGGUGUUGUGUUUUGUUUUGUUUGUUUUUUUUUUUUGAGACGGAGUUUCACUCUUGUUACCCAGGCUGGAGUGCAAUGGCGCCAUCUCGGCCCACCGCAACCUC